AGGGAUGUAGCUCAGUGGUAGACCAUCUGCACUGCAUGCAGAAGGUCGUAGGUUCAAUCCCCAGCAUCUCCA
This is a non-coding RNA of Podarcis lilfordi (Lilford's wall lizard), 72 nucleotides long. NCBI's taxonomy places the organism in Eukaryota, Metazoa, Chordata, Lepidosauria, Squamata, Lacertidae. The record is from the annotation of a GenBank genome assembly.